UUGACCUCGGAUCAGGUAGGGAUACCCGCUGAACUUAAGCAUAUCAAUAAGCCGGGAGGA
Molecule: ribosomal RNA, 60 nt
Filed under: Alternaria mali
Lineage: Eukaryota; Fungi; Ascomycota; Dothideomycetes; Pleosporales; Pleosporaceae
Description: partial 28S ribosomal RNA
Source: RNAcentral